RNAcentral lists this ribosomal RNA (447 nucleotides) under uncultured Thiobacillus sp. Its description in RNAcentral is "bacterial SSU rRNA". It matches the Rfam family "Bacterial small subunit ribosomal RNA", at positions 931 to 1382 of the family's 1533-position model. Lineage: Bacteria; Pseudomonadati; Pseudomonadota; Betaproteobacteria; Nitrosomonadales; Thiobacillaceae. The record is from RNAcentral.
CGUGGAUGAUGUGGAUUAAUUCGAUGCAACGCGAAGAACCUUACCUACCCUUGACAUGUCCGGAACUUGCCAGAGAUGGCUUGGUGCCCGAAAGGGAAUCGGAACACAGGUGCUGCAUGGCUGUCGUCAGCUCGUGUCGUGAGAUGUUGGGUUAAGUCCCGCAACGAGCGCAACCCUUAUCAUUAGUUGCUACGCAAGGGCACUCUAAUGAGACUGCCGGUGACAAACCGGAGGAAGGUGGGGAUGACGUCAAGUCCUCAUGGCCCUUAUGGGUAGGGCUUCACACGUCAUACAAUGGUCGGUACAGAGGGUUGCCAAGCCGCGAGGCGGAGCCAAUCCCACAAAGCCGAUCGUAAUCCGGAUUGUUCUCUGCAACUCGAGAGCAUGAAGUCGGAAUCGCUAGUAAUCGCAGGUCAGCAUACUGCGGUGAAUACGUUCCCGGGUCUU